AACGAACGCUGGCGGCAUGCCUAACACAUGCAAGUCGAACGAGACCUUCGGGUCCAGUGGCGCACGGGUGCGUAACGCGUGGGAACCUGCCCUUAGGUUCGGAAUAACUCCCCGACAGGGGUGCUAAUACCGGAUAAUGUCUUCGGACCAAAGAUUUAUCGCCUUUGGAUGGGCCGGCGUUGGAUUAGCUAGUUGGUAGGGUAAAAGCCUACCAAGGCGACGAUCCAUAGCUGGUCUGAGAGGAUGAUCAGCCACACUGGGACUGAGACACGGCCCAGACUCCUACGGGAGGCAGCAGUGGGGAAUAUUGGACAAUGGGCGAAAGCCUGAUCCAGCAAUGCCGCGUGAGUGAUGAAGGCCUUAGGGUUGUAAAGCUCUUUUACCCGGGAUGAUAAUGACAGUACCGGGAGAAUAAGCUCCGGCUAACUCCGUG
RNAcentral lists this ribosomal RNA (433 nucleotides) under uncultured bacterium. RNAcentral describes it as "partial 16S ribosomal RNA". It matches the Rfam family "Bacterial small subunit ribosomal RNA", at positions 29 to 507 of the family's 1533-position model. The record is from RNAcentral.